AAUCCUUUUGGGGUCUGCAGAACCCGUAGGGGUCCGUGGGAUCUUUUGGGGUCAAUAAAACCUUGGGGGCUGUGGGAACUUUUGGGGUCCCUAAAACCCUUCAGGGGCCAUAAAAUCCUUUUGGGGUCGAUAGAAACUGAGGGUCUCUGGAGCCUUUUGGGGGUCUGUGGAGCCUUUUGGGGUCUGGGGGACCUUUGGGGUCUGUGGGACACUUUGGGGUCUGUGGGAUCUUUGGGGUCUGUGGGAUCUUUGGGAUCCUUUGGGGUCUGUGGAGCCCUUUGGGGUCUGUGGAGCCUUUUGGGGUCUCUGGGACCUUUGGGGUCUCUGGGACACUUUGGGGUCUGUGGGACCCUUUGGGGUCUCUGGGACCUUUUGGGGGUCUGUGGGACACUUUGGGGUCUCUGGGAUCUUUGGGGUCUGUGGGAUCUUUGGGAUCCUUUGGGGUCCUGGAGCCCUUUGGGGUCUGUGGAGCCUUUUGGGUCUGUGGGACACUUUGGGGUCUGUGGGAUCUUUGGGGUCUGUGGGACACUUUGGGGUCUCUGGGACCUUUUGGGGGUCUGUGGGACACUUUGGGGUCUCUGGGACCUUUGGGAUCCUUUGGGGUCCUGGAGCCCUUUGGGAUCCGCGGUGGCCCCGGCCCUCACUGGGACACGGGGAUGGGGACACUGCUCGGGACCCCGCUGUGACCCCAGUGUCCCCAAUGUCCUUCUGUCCCCAGUGUCCCCAAUGUCCUUCUGUCCUCAAUGUCCCCAAUGUCCCAAAUGUCCCUCUGUCCCCAAUGUCCCCAAUGUCCUUCUGUCCUCAAUGUCCCUGUGUCCCCAAUGUCCCUCUGUCCCUGCUGUCGUUGGUGUCCCCGCUGUCCCCCUGC
This 868-nucleotide long non-coding RNA is filed under the name Cyanistes caeruleus (blue tit). RNAcentral's name for it is "lncRNA (ENSCCEG00000005100.1)". Lineage: Eukaryota; Metazoa; Chordata; Aves; Passeriformes; Paridae. The record is from RNAcentral.